AGUGGCGGACGGGUGAGUAACGCGUGGGCAACCUGCCUUACACAGGGGGACAACAGCUGGAAACGGCUGCUAAUACCGCAUAAGCGCACGGUCUCGCAUGAGACAGUGUGAAAAACUCCGGUGGUGUAAGAUGGGCCCGCGUCUGAUUAGCUGGUUGGUGGGGUAACGGCCUACCAAGGCGACGGUCAGUAGCCGACCUGAGAGGGUGACCGGCCACAUUGGGACUGAGACACGGCCCAAACUCCUACGGAAGGCAGCAG
Molecule: ribosomal RNA, 260 nt
Filed under: uncultured bacterium
Lineage: Bacteria
Description: partial 16S ribosomal RNA
Rfam family: Bacterial small subunit ribosomal RNA
Source: RNAcentral